Cordylochernes scorpioides is the source of this 71-nucleotide non-coding RNA. The record is from the annotation of a GenBank genome assembly. NCBI's taxonomy places the organism in Eukaryota, Metazoa, Arthropoda, Arachnida, Pseudoscorpiones, Chernetidae.
AGCCCACUGCGGGAUUCGAACCCGGGUCGUAGCUUUUGAAAGCCGACGGCUUAUACCACUCGUCUAAUGAC